RNAcentral lists this ribosomal RNA (425 nucleotides) under uncultured bacterium. RNAcentral's name for it is "partial 16S ribosomal RNA". It matches the Rfam family "Bacterial small subunit ribosomal RNA", at positions 359 to 775 of the family's 1533-position model. The record is from RNAcentral.
GAAUAUUGGACAAUGGGGGGAACCCUGAUCCAGCCAUGCCGCGUGUGUGAAGAAGGCCUUUUGGUUGUAAAGCACUUUACGCGAGGAGGCGGCUACCUGGAUUAAUACUUUAGGAUAGUGGACGUUACUAGCAGAAUAAGCACCGGCUAACUCUUGGCCAGCAGCCGAGGUAAUACAGAGGGUGCGAGCGUUAAUCGGAUUUACUGGGCGUAAAGCGUGCGUAGGCGGACAAUUAAGUCAAAUGUGAAAUCCCCGAGCUUAACUUGGGAAUUGCAUUCGAUACUGGUUGGCUAGAGUAUGGGAGAGGAUGGUAGAAUUCCAGGUGUAGCGGUGAAAUGCGUAGAGAUCUGGAGGAAUACCGAUGGCGAAGGCAGCCAUCUGGCCUAAUACUGACGCUGUGGUACGAAAGCAUGGGGAGCAAACAG